GGAUGGUCCAACUGGGAUGGACCCAACUGGGAUGGUCCCAACUGGGAUGGUCCCAUCAAACUGGGAUGGACCCAACUGGGAUGGACCCACCGUGGUGGACACCCAUGGACCCAACUGGGAUGGUCCCAUCAAACUGGGAUGGUCCAACUGGGAUGGUCCCAUCAAACUGGGAUGGACCCAACUGGGAUGGUCCAACUGGGAUGGUCCAACUGGGAUGGACCCAUCAAACUGGGAUGGACCCAACUGGGAUGGACCCAACUGGGCUGGGGGUGGUCCCAUGGUGGUGGCCCCACCCGGUGUCACCCAUGGGUGCCCUGGGGCGUGGUCCUUACCCGCCGUCCCCCUUGUCCUCGCCGUUGUCCUCCAGCCGCGCCCGUUUGCCCCCAGGGCCCAGGGGGUCCCCGGGACGUUUGGGUGCCCCGGGGGGUCCCCAGGGUGACACCCAGUGGGUGCCGUUGAGGUGGGGGAGGUGGCCGUUGGUGGUGGCAUCUCCGCGGGGGACGAGGUGACUGUGGGUGGCGUUUCCGUGGGUGCUGUGGCCACCCAAGAGGUGUCUGUGGGUGGCACCACCAAGGCCACCGAGAAGGUGCCCAUGGGUGCCACCUCCAUGGGUGCCACCUCCAGGGCCACUGUGGCCAUCAAGAAGGUGUCCAUGGGUGCCAUCUCCAUGGGUGCCAUCUCCAGGGCCACCAAGGACGUGUCCAUGGGUGCCAUCUCCACGGGUGCCAUCUCCAAGGCCACCAAGAAGGUGUCUGUGGGUGCCAUCUCCAUGGGUGACGUCUCCAAGGCCACCAAGGACGUGUCUGUGGGUGCCAUCUCCACGGGUGCCAUCUCCAAGGCCACCAAGAAGAUGUCCAUGGGUGCCAUCUCCAUGGGUGACGUCUCCAGGGCCACCAAGGACGUGUCUGUGGGUGCCAUCUCCAUGGGUGCCACCUCCAUGGGUGCCAUCUCCACAGGUGCCAUCUCCAGGGCCACCAUGGCCACCAAAGAGGUCCCCGUGGUUGCCAUCUCCUCGGUGACGCCCACAGAGGCCACCCACCACGUCCCUAUGGGUGCCACCACCACCUCCUCCCACCUCCUGGGGGGUGCCCCACGAGGUGCCACCUCCUCUGUUGACGUCCCCCCCCGUUGUCCCCUUGGUGCCACCACCCCCCGCCGUGUUCUUCAGGACAAAGUCCACGAUGUCAGAGGGAAGGUCCUCGCCGGGGGGUGGUGGCCCCAUGGGUGGGGGUGGUGGCCCCAAAGGUGGUGCUGGUGGCCCCAAAGAUGGUGGUGGAACCAAAGAUGGUGGUGGUGGCCCCAAAGAUGGUGGUGGCCCCAAAGGUGGUGCUGGUGGCCCCAAAGGUGGUGGUGGUGGCCCCAAAGAUGGUGGUGGUGGCCCCAAGGGUGGUGGUGGUGGCCCCAAAGAUGGUGGUGGUGGCCCCAAGGGUGGGGGUGGUGGCCCCAAAGAUGGUGCUGGUGGCCCUAAAGAUGGUGGUGGCCCCAAAGGUGGUGGUGGUGGCCCCAAAGAUGGUGGUGGUGGCCCCAAGGGUGGGGGUGGUGGCCCCUUGUCCCCCCCGUCGUCCACCCCGUCCAACUGGUGGAUGUGGGGCGGCAGGGGGAGGGGACAAGGUUGUCCCCGUGUCACCACCGUGCGGGGGUAGCGGUAGUAGGGGCCGCCUCGAGGAGCAGGGUGGUGGCCACCAUCACCACCAUCAUCUUCUUCAUCUUCCUCCUCCUCCUCCUCGCUGCUGUCCCCCCCCCUCCUCGUCCCCCCCGACGUCCCCAAGAGCCCGGCGGCCAAGGCCAACUCGGUGACGUCCAGCUCCUCCAAGGCCAGGUCGGGGCCACCCGGUGGGGACAAGGACACCUCCUCCUCCUCCUCCUCCUCCUCUUCCUCCUCCACCAGGGGUGAAGGUGGCCCCACGGGUGACAAGGAGGCGGGGGGUGAAGGUGGCAUCUUGGGUGGCUUCGGUUCCACCAUGGAUGGUGGCCUUCCAGGUGACGAGGAUCUUCUGGGGGGUGGUGGCCCUCCGGGUGACGAUGGCCUUCGACGUGAUGGUGGCCCUCCAAGUGACAAUGGCUCUCCGGGUGACAACGGGUCUCCGGGUGACAAGGGGUCUCCAGAGCGUGGUGGCCUUCCAGGUGACAAUGGCUCUUCGGGUGACAAUGGUUCUCCGGGUGACAACAGUCCUCCAGAAGGUGGUGGCCCUCCAAGUGACAAGGGGCCUCCAGAAGGUGGUGGUCCUCCAGGUGACAAUGGCUCUCUGGGUGACAACGGACCUCCAGAAGGUGGUGGCCCUCGGGGUGACAACGGUUCUCCAGGUGACAAGAGUCCUCUAGAGGGUGGUGGCCCUCCAGGUGACAACGUCCUUCCACGGGAUGGUGGCCCUCCGAGUGACACCGGUGGCCCUCCGGGUGACAACAAUGUCCUUGGGUGGGGUGGUGGCCCUUGGAGUGACACCGGCGGCUCUCCGGGUGACAAGAGU
This 2468-nucleotide long non-coding RNA is filed under the name Calidris pugnax (ruff). RNAcentral's name for it is "lncRNA (ENSCPUG00000015860.1)". The record is from RNAcentral. Lineage: Eukaryota; Metazoa; Chordata; Aves; Charadriiformes; Scolopacidae.